AGAUGCAAGAGCGGUUGAAAUUUGGAAAGGUAUUAUAUCAAUCCAUAUAACACAAUCUAUUCCUUUCCACAUUGAAGAGAUUACAAAUAACCGCAAGUAGUUGUUCAUGUUUGCUCAUGCAAUCUAGUCACAGCUAUAGUAAGCGUUGAGCAACUCACAGAGAGAGCAAUGCUUCACAUUGAGCUAUCAAAAAGUAUAUUCAAAGACCUCACUUACACAUUGAGCAGCUCAGAGGACAAUAAACAGUAAGGCAGAUUCUUAUCAUUGAGCUAUAUGAAGAACUUUAUUAUCUAGUUAUGUACAAUGGUAUUCACAAAUUUAACCUCAUUUACAUCAAUUUAUGAUUCAGGUCGUUGACCAUCUGGACAUCAACU
RNAcentral lists this long non-coding RNA (374 nucleotides) under Theobroma cacao (cacao). RNAcentral's name for it is "long non-coding RNA (TCAC_LNC000120)". Lineage: Eukaryota; Viridiplantae; Streptophyta; Magnoliopsida; Malvales; Malvaceae. The record is from RNAcentral.